This is a small nucleolar RNA of Pipistrellus kuhlii (Kuhl's pipistrelle), 127 nucleotides long. RefSeq annotates it as small nucleolar RNA SNORA70. NCBI's taxonomy places the organism in Eukaryota, Metazoa, Chordata, Mammalia, Chiroptera, Vespertilionidae. The record is from RefSeq and is a predicted model, not a curated record. The transcript has a single exon.
CUGCAGCCAUUAAGUCGGUCAUGCUCUUUUCCCCAUGGGGGCCUGGUGUGCAAUGACUGCACACAGUUGCAUUCUUAUUUAUUUUUUAAGUAUUUACUUAUUUUUGCAUGUGGGUGUCCAGGUAUUC